UGGUCGGGGGCGCUGCGGAGCGGAGCCGGGGAACCACGUUCCUCCGGGGUGAAUCGGCGCCAGGUCGGCCGUUGGUGAGGCCGUGAGGCGUCGUAGGGCAUGCUUCCGGCCCGAACCCGUCAGCUCACCCGGUAGGCGGAGGUAGGAAGAAGGA
Molecule: regulatory RNA element, 154 nt
Rfam family: c-di-AMP riboswitch aptamer (ydaO/yuaA leader)
About the family: This family represents a conserved RNA structure found upstream of the ydaO and yuaA genes in Bacillus subtilis and related genes in other bacteria. The ydaO/yuaA element is thought to act as a genetic "off" switch for the ydaO and yuaA genes in its native state.
Source: Rfam